UGGAAACUGGAGGGGAGACUGAUGCAGUGGUCCAGGCAGAGAAUGGUGUUGGCUUGGCCUGGGAGGUGAGACUGGCAAAGAUGGAGAGAAGUAAAGAGAUUCCAGGAGUAUUUUGGGGUUAGGAUUGAUAAGCCUUGGCUGUGGAUGGUGCAUGUAAGUGAGGGCAGCAGAGGGAGGUGUCUGGGAUGACGCCCAGGAUUUUAGUUCCAGCGUCAGGCUUCUUGGAAAUGCCAGCAACUGAGAUGGUGACGCUGGGGGGAGGAUGGACUGAAAAUUCUAAUUUGGACGUGUUGAGUUUGAGAUGUCGGUAAGACACAGAGGUGCAAAUGUCCAGGAGGCUGUUGUAGUUAAAAAAAGCCUCGUGUUAAGGAAGGUUUAAGCUUGGAGACAAGGAUUUAUGGAGAGUAGAAACAGCUGGGUCAAUGUUGGAGGACCAGAGGCCUGCAGUUGGGUGGAGCUCCCUGGGGCCCACGUGGUGGAGCAAAGAAAACCCAAGAGAGAAGUUAGAUGGGGAAGGAGAACCUCAUGGAAGACAGGACAGCUUGGUCCAGCCACCCUCUGCUACUGCUUGCAGAGUCUGCUGCCCAACUAGGAUUUUGGCGCCUCUGUCCUGCUGUAGUGUCCCACCUGGUCGCCCGUUCCCUUCUGCCUGGGCGCUCUUCCCAUCUUCACCUGGACAAUCCCCUGCGUGCUUCUGAUCUCAGGCCACAGGCUGCUUCCUUAGGGAAGCCUCUCGCAGUCCUUGAAGACGGAGGCAGAGGGAGAUUUGACACAGAAGAGAAUGUGAUGUGAGCAGAGAUUGAAGAGAUAAUUUUGCUCUUUGAAGAUGAAGGAGGCAGCCAGCAGCCAAGGAAUCCAGUUGGCCAAUGGGAACUGAAGAAGACAAGGAAACAGAUUCUCCCUUCAGAGGCUCCAGAAGGAACCAGCCCUGCCAACACCUUGACUUUAGUCCAGUGAAACUGAUUUUGGAUUUCUGACCUCAAGAACAGCAGAGAAUAAAUCUGUGUUGUUUAAACCACUGAGUCUGUGGCAACUUGUUUCAAUGGUAAUAGCAAAGAAACAUAUUACCCUAAAGUAGUCAAUG
Molecule: non-coding RNA, 1084 nt
Organism: Vicugna pacos (alpaca)
Lineage: Eukaryota; Metazoa; Chordata; Mammalia; Artiodactyla; Camelidae
Source: RefSeq, a predicted model, not a curated record